RNAcentral lists this ribosomal RNA (253 nucleotides) under uncultured bacterium. Its description in RNAcentral is "partial 16S ribosomal RNA". It matches the Rfam family "Bacterial small subunit ribosomal RNA", at positions 524 to 776 of the family's 1533-position model. The record is from RNAcentral.
GACGAACCGUGCGAACGUUGUUCGGAAUCACUGGGCUUAAAGGGCGCGUAGGCGGGCCGCCGAGUCCGGGGUGAAAGCCCCCAGCUUAACUGGGGAAGUGCCUCGGAUACUGGCGGUCUGGAGGGGGGUAGGGGCCGUGGGAACUUCCGGUGGAGCGGUGAAAUGCGUUGAUAUCGGAAGGAACGCCGGUGGCGAAAGCGCACGGCUGGACCCUUACUGACGCUGAGGCGCGAAAGCCAGGGGAGCAAACGGG